GUGCUCGCUUUGCCAGCACAUAUACUAAAAUUGGAACGAUACAGGGAUGAUAAGCAUGGCCUCUACACAAGGAUGAUGCAAAUUCAUGAAGUGUUCCAGAUUAAA
This is a small nuclear RNA of Camelus dromedarius (Arabian camel), 105 nucleotides long. NCBI's taxonomy places the organism in Eukaryota, Metazoa, Chordata, Mammalia, Artiodactyla, Camelidae. The record is from Ensembl.